Molecule: ribosomal RNA, 460 nt
Filed under: uncultured bacterium
Lineage: Bacteria
Description: partial 16S ribosomal RNA
Rfam family: Bacterial small subunit ribosomal RNA
Source: RNAcentral
CCUACGGGAGGCAGCAGUGAGGAAUAUUGGUCAAUGGACGAGAGUCUGAACCAGCCAAGUAGCGUGAAGGAUGACUGCCCUAUGGGUUGUAAACUUCUUUUAUAUGGGAAUAAAAUGUUCCACGUGUGGGAUUUUGUAUGUACCAUAUGAAUAAGGAUCGGCUAACUCCGUGCCAGCAGCCGCGGUAAUACGUAGGAUCCGAGCGUUAUCCGGAUUGAUUGGGUUUAAAGGGAGCGUAGGUGGAGUGUUAAGUCAGUUGUGAAAGUUUGCGGCUCAACCGUAAAAUUGCAGUUGAAACUGGCAGUCUUGAGUACAGUAGAGGUGGGCGGAAUUCGUGGUGUAGCGGUGAAAUGCUUAGAUAUCACGAAGAACUCCGAUUGCGAAGGCAGCUCACUGGACUGCAACUGACACUGAGGCUCGAAAGUGUGGGUAUCAAACAGGAUUAGAUACCCUGGUAGUC